RNAcentral lists this ribosomal RNA (433 nucleotides) under uncultured bacterium. RNAcentral's name for it is "partial 16S ribosomal RNA". It matches the Rfam family "Bacterial small subunit ribosomal RNA", at positions 29 to 507 of the family's 1533-position model. The record is from RNAcentral.
AGCGAACGCUGGCGGCAGGCCUAACACAUGCAAGUCGAACGAACUCUCCGGAGUUAGUGGCGGACGGGUGUGUAACACGUGGGAACGUGCCUUUUUGUUCGGAAUAACUCAGGGAAACUUGUGCUAAUACAGAAUGUGCUCUUCUGGGGAAAGAUUUAUCGCCAUUAGAGCGGCCCGCGUCUGAUUAGCUUGUUGGUGAGGUAACGGCUCACCAAGGCGACGAUCAGUAGCUGGUUUGAGAGAAUGACCAGCCACACUGGGACUAGGACACGGCCCGGACUCCUACGGGAUGCAGCAGUGGGGGAUCUUGCGCAAUGGGCGGAAGCCUGACGCAGCCAUGCCGCGUGAAUGAUGAAGGUCUUAGAGAUGUAAAAUUCUUUCACCGGGGACGGUAAUGACGGUACCCGAAGAAGAAGCCCCGGCUAACUUCGUG